UCCUCCGUGGCGCAAUUGGCUAGCGCGUUCGACUGUUACUAGUUCAUCAGAACCGGGCGAUCGAGAGGUUGACAGUUCAAGCCUGUCCGGGGGAG
Molecule: non-coding RNA, 95 nt
Organism: Xylaria nigripes
Lineage: Eukaryota; Fungi; Ascomycota; Sordariomycetes; Xylariales; Xylariaceae
Source: the annotation of a GenBank genome assembly